GGGACUACAGGAGCCUAGCUAAUUUUUUUAUUUUUAGUAGAGACGGGGUUUCACUGUGUUAGCCAGGAUGGUCUCAAUCUCCUGACCUCAUGAUCCACCCGCCUCGGCCUCCCAAAGUGCUGGGAUUACAGGCGUGAGCCACCUCGCCUGGCCAGAUAAACACCUUUUCAAAUGGCAACUGGCUAUUGGGACACCACUUUUGUGAAAUAUUCGCAGAGCACCCACUAGGUGCCAGUAAAUGUAUGAGAAGUCCUGUGGAAUAAGACUGAAGUUGUCCUUGCCUUCAAGCAACUUGCAAUUGCCUAAGAACACAGUUUAAAACCACAAAACUAAGCCUUGGAAAUCACAUGCUGUCAUUUCUGCGAUCGGUCAUAACCAGUCCUGAUUCCAUGUUAGAGGAGACUACAUAAGGACACAGGUACCAGAAGCUGGAUCCACUGACCUGGAAUGCCUGGACUGAAGCAGGAGACUAACCAGCAUGGGCUACAUCAAAAAGGCUGCCAUCUACUUUCUGCUGGGUAGGGGCACCAGAGAGACUUGUCAGAAACUAGAAGGAAGGUAGAGUGCGAAAUCUGAGUGUUAAUUCCCUGGCUUCAUCAAAGGACACUGGUCUUCACAAGGAAACAGACUACAUGAUUCUCCUUUUGGGCUUCAGUAAAAACCCCCUCCUUUCAUCCCUUAGUCUAGGGAUGGUAAGAGGUCAGCAGCUAAGAAUUCUAGGUUCUUUGUGGUUUUCCCGUAUACAUGUCUUUGAUGAUAGCCCCUUUGGAAAUAAAUUCUCCUAGACUUU
This 790-nucleotide long non-coding RNA is filed under the name Homo sapiens (human). Its description in RNAcentral is "novel transcript". Lineage: Eukaryota; Metazoa; Chordata; Mammalia; Primates; Hominidae. The record is from RNAcentral.